This 861-nucleotide long non-coding RNA is filed under the name Anas platyrhynchos platyrhynchos (common mallard). RNAcentral describes it as "lncRNA (ENSAPLG00000029231.1)". The record is from RNAcentral. Lineage: Eukaryota; Metazoa; Chordata; Aves; Anseriformes; Anatidae.
GAACAGGCUAGUGGGAAUCAGUACAAUGCUACAGAAGGCAGUGUAACAAAGACCAUUUGAAUAAACUGAAGAUAAACUCUCUAGAAGAUGAGAGGCUGUGGAAUAUGCAGGGGUAUGAUCAUCUCCCAGAUGAAAGAAGAAAAAAACCUAUUUUGCUCUCCUUUUCUACUGGACUGAACCAAAAGGAAUGGCAGCAGCUCAUACUCCAGCACCAAACCUGGCACAGAAGAACUUAAAGUCCACAGAAAAAACAACAGUACCUCCUUCCUGCACAACAUCACUCCAGGAGGAAGACCCUUGCCAGAUAAAAGGCAUUAGAGAAACUACAGCUGCACAAAAAAUGGGUGGCAGAAGAAGGCUCUUUUGAAGAGAAGCUGCAGGGGACAACAAGAGGUAAGAAGACCCUGAAGAGAACUACUCCCACAGUCUUUUACAACAUUAUAGACUGUUAAGCUUAAUAAUAUUAAGUUUUAAUUUAUGCUCAAACACAAAGAAAUUUAGAAGAGAAUAUAAAACAUUUGUAAUAUUCAUGAAGAAUUAAUGAAAACACUUUUUGGAAAUUUUAUGGUUUGUUUGUGUAACUUAUGCCUCUCAAAACUAGAGUGAGUAACAGGAAAUCAGUCAGCUCUGGACUCAGUUAUUUCCUUAAUGCCUUAACACCUUUGAAGUUCCUCUCCUAGUGCCACCUUUCUUUUUCCAGUAAAACUGAUGGUCUGUACUGUUUAACAAAAGAAAAACAAAACAAAUUCAACAAAUUUGAAGCACAAAAACUUGUAAUCUCAGUAUAAAAUUUUAAAUAAGUAAAAAGACUUAUUGCCUGUAAGGCUUUUUUUUUUUUACCUAAUAGCAACAAAAGCUCAG